Molecule: ribosomal RNA, 163 nt
Filed under: Rinorea bengalensis
Lineage: Eukaryota; Viridiplantae; Streptophyta; Magnoliopsida; Malpighiales; Violaceae
Description: 5.8S ribosomal RNA
Rfam family: 5.8S ribosomal RNA
About the family: 5.8S ribosomal RNA (5.8S rRNA) is a component of the large subunit of the eukaryotic ribosome. It is transcribed by RNA polymerase I as part of the 45S precursor that also contains 18S and 28S rRNA. Functionally, it is thought that 5.8S rRNA may be involved in ribosome translocation.
Source: RNAcentral
AAACGACUCUCGGCAACGGAUAUCUCGGCUCUCGCAUCGAUGAAGAACGUAGCGAAAUGCGAUACUUGGUGUGAAUUGCAGAAUCCCGUGAACCAUCGAGUCUUUGAACGCAAGUUGCGCCCAAAGCCAUUCGGCCGAGGGCACGUCUGCCUGGGUGUCACGC